GACGAACGCUGGCGGCGUGCUUAACACAUGCAAGUCGAACGAUGAAACCUAGCUUGCUAGGUCGAUUAGUGGCGAACGGGUGAGUAACACGUGACUAACCUGCCCCUUUCUCUGGGAUAACGCUCCGAAAGGAGUGCUAAUACCGGAUACUCACACCGAGGCACAUGCCUUGGUGUGGAAAGUUUUUCGGAAAGGGAUGGAGUCGCGGCCUAUCAGCUUGUUGGUGAGGUAACGGCUCACCAAGGCGACGACGGGUAGCCGGCCUGAGAGGGCGACCGGCCACACCGGGACUGAGACACGGCCCAGACUCCUACGGGAGGCAGCAGUGGGGAAUAUUGCACAAUGGGCGCAAGCCUGAUGCAGCGACGCCGCGUGAGGGAUGAAGGUCUUCGGAUUGUAAACCUCUUUCAGUAGGGACGAAGCGAAAGUGACGGUACCUAGAGAAGAAGCACCGGCUAACUACGUGCCAGCCGCCGCAGUAA
RNAcentral lists this ribosomal RNA (482 nucleotides) under uncultured bacterium. Its description in RNAcentral is "partial 16S ribosomal RNA". It matches the Rfam family "Bacterial small subunit ribosomal RNA", at positions 28 to 523 of the family's 1533-position model. The record is from RNAcentral.